GCAUGCCUUACACAUGCAAGUCGAACGGCAGCACGGGAGCAAUCCUGGUGGCGAGUGGCGAACGGGUGAGUAAUACAUUGGAACGUGCCCUGUCGUGGGGGAUAACUAGGCGAAAGAUUAGCUAAUACCGCAUACGACCUGAGGGUGAAAGCGGGGGACCGUAAGGCCUCGCGCGAUAGGAGCGGCCGAUGUCUGAUUAGCUAGUUGGUGGGGUAAAGGCCCACCAAGGCGACGAUCAGUAGCUGGUCUGAGAGGACGAUCAGCCACACUGGGACUGAGACACGGCCCAGACUCCUACGGGAGGCAGCAGUGGGGAAUUUUGGACAAUGGGGGCAACCCUGAUCCAGCAAUGCCGCGUGUGUGAAGAAGGCCUUCGGGUUGUAAAGCACUUUUGUCCGGAAAGAAAUCCCUUGCCCUAAUACGGCGGGGGGAUGACGGUACCGGAAGAAUAAGCACCGGCUAACUACGUGCCAGCAGCCGCGGUAAUACGUAGGGUGCGAGCGUUAAUCGGAAUUACUGGGCGUAAAGCGUGCGCAGGCGGUUUUGUAAGACAGGCGUGAAAUCCCCGAGCUCAACUUGGGAAUGGCGCUUGUGACUGCAAGGCUAGAGUAUGUCAAAGGGGGGUAGAAUUC
RNAcentral lists this ribosomal RNA (632 nucleotides) under PAH-contaminated sludge bacterium PB-13. Its description in RNAcentral is "bacterial SSU rRNA". It matches the Rfam family "Bacterial small subunit ribosomal RNA", at positions 42 to 669 of the family's 1533-position model. The record is from RNAcentral. Lineage: Bacteria; Pseudomonadati; Pseudomonadota; Betaproteobacteria; Burkholderiales; Burkholderiaceae.